CUUCAGCUUCUCACUCUGGCUACCAUGGAACACAAAAGCCAGAGAGACCUUGCAACUUCAUCGCCAAAUCUUGUCCUGUACUCCUAUUGGCAGAGUUCCUGCGCAUGGCGUGUCCGCUUUGCUCUAAACCUGAAAGGGCUUUCUUAUGAGUACAAAGCAGUGAACCUUGCAAAAGGAGAGCAGUUUUCUCCAGAGUUUGAACGAUUAAAUCCUCUUCAUUUUGUUCCGGUGUUGGUUGAUGGUGAUGUGGUGGUCUCAGACUCUUAUGCGAUAUUGCUGUAUUUGGAAGAAAAGUAUCCUCAAAAAGCAUUGUUGCCAGAUGAUCCUCAGCGAAGAGCUUUGAAUCUGCAGGCUGCCAGCAUCAUCAGCUCUAGCAUACAACCUCUUCAUAUGUUGUCAAUGCUGAAAUACUUUGAAGAAAAAAUGGGUCCUGACGAGGCAUUAUUAUGGGGUCAAUCUUGUGUAGAAAAAGGUUUCCUUGCUCUUGAGAGGUUGCUGAAAGAUUUUGCAGGCAGAUAUGCCACAGGAGAAGCAGUAUUUAUGGCUGAUGUGUUUCUGGCCCCACAAAUAGCUGUGGCUUUAAUGAGGUUCAAAAUUGAUAUGUCCAAGUUCCCAACUUUAGGUAGGAUAUAUGAAUCAUGCAAGGGCUUACCUGAGUUCGUAGGUUCACUCCCACAAUCACAACCUGAUGCAGAGCAGUAAGUUUGGUUUUCACCUUAUUUACUGUUCCAUUAACGCUGCACAAUUGCAAAUGACAGCAAACAUUGUAAUACUAUUCAGCAUCCAAGAAUUGGGUUUGAAUAAUGAUAAAAUUUGCUUGGAUUUACAUUUCUCAUUCGAUGUAAUGGCUGAAAAAUUCUAUGGUAAGGAUAUGUGCAUUAAUCAUUUCUCUCGG
RNAcentral lists this unclassified non-coding RNA (895 nucleotides) under Hevea brasiliensis (rubber tree). The record is from RNAcentral. Lineage: Eukaryota; Viridiplantae; Streptophyta; Magnoliopsida; Malpighiales; Euphorbiaceae.